CGGAACAGUUGACAUAAACUCAAUAUGCCAAACAAUAUACUGUGCUGUACUGGAACACUGUACUGGAGGAGGGUCAAAUGAUAAGAUUGCCAGCCUCAGCUACAACCCUCUUGUGAUGCAAGCGGCUGCAGACGGUGCUGUCUGCACAUGAGGUAAACCUCAGCCCCGCUUCCUUGGCUACAGCAGAUUGAACUGAGAAUUGACGCCUGACCCAAAGGCAACCAUUCAUGGAAUAUCCAAGUAGCCAAUGAAAUGGGCUGAUGCAAGAGCUCCGCCCCCGGUGGUCAGUUUCCUAGACGAUGACCGGCCAGUGGAACAGAACCUCUUUCACGCAAUUAGAAUUUGGGACCUAUUGGGUGUGGGAGAGGGGGAAGUAAUGAAACGGUAGGGUGGAAAUGGGCAGACACCCUGAGAACCGUCAGAAAGCCCUGUCCACAUGGCGCUGGGAGCCAUGACAAAACAGGAACAACGGCGUGGAGGAGAAGAAGUGCAGAGAGGGUUUGGCAGCGUGAGCAGAGAAAAGCAGAGGCAGGGCGCAGCUGAGUCACUAUACUGGCAGAGCAUUAGAGAGGGAGCAACAGAUGCCUACUGCUGAAGCAAUGUCAAGAAAAACAGGUGGCUGGAGGUAUACUGUGUCCUGAACGACAUUCCCAGCUCCGCCAGGCAGCUGUUAAAACUGCUUCCUGCUCUUCCCCACUUCCUCCGGUAUCCUUGCGAUGAACCACGUUAACCCGAGUCACCAGAGCACAUCUCUCUUCCUGGCAACCUGAAAAAGCCUGAUCAACGCCAUGUAAUAUUCAUAUCUCUAUUAUGGCACGUAUCAGGUGGCGUUAUGAUGAUUUGUUUUUAUGAUUCUCCCUGACUACACUCCUUAAGGUCAAGAACUGUGUUCAGUGCCUUCUUAAAACAUCCUCAGCAACCGGAUAGUAUACCAGCACAUAGGAGGUGCUGGCGAAUCGUUGGAUGAAUGACUGGAGAAAAGUGUGAGUGUGCAUGUGGCCAAAAGAGCCACGGGAAGUUCAGUUAGCAUUCCUCUAAAGGAGUUUAUCCUCACAAACAUUUUAUGAGGAAGAUAAAGCAGGCGUCGUUAAUGUCCUGGUGGGGAAGAGAAAACUCAAAAUGACACAGUACCUUUCCUGGGAGCACAUAUUUCGUUAGAUUAAAUAAAGACCACUGGUGCUUGAAACACUACUAUGCCAAAUCCACCAACUAAGUGUGAACAGGUUCACAUGCCCGAUGAUAGAACAAAAGCCACAUUACAAAUGAUGCAGUCAUUGAAAAUGAAGCAUUUGCACAAUCUGAAAGAGACGAUCAACGUGAACUAAACUUAUUGUGGCUAUCAUUUCUUAUGUCAAUCAAAUCAUUACGCCAUACACCUUGACCUUAUACAGUGCUGUACGUCUAUUCUAUACCAAUAAAACUGAAAGAAAAAAAAAGACCAACCUAAUAAAAUAUUGAUUUUUACCUUUU
Felis catus (domestic cat) is the source of this 1470-nucleotide long non-coding RNA. RefSeq lists it as uncharacterized. Lineage: Eukaryota; Metazoa; Chordata; Mammalia; Carnivora; Felidae. The record is from RefSeq and is a predicted model, not a curated record. The transcript is spliced from 4 exons.